Dipodomys ordii (Ord's kangaroo rat) is the source of this 647-nucleotide RNA transcript. It is a transcript of the gene named mediator of RNA polymerase II transcription subunit 21 pseudogene, with no coding region annotated. The transcript has a single exon. Lineage: Eukaryota; Metazoa; Chordata; Mammalia; Rodentia; Heteromyidae. The record is from RefSeq and is a predicted model, not a curated record.
AUGGCGGACCGCCUCACGCAGCUCCAAGACGCAGUGAACUCGCUUGCAGAUCAGUUUUGUAAUGCCAUUGGAGUGUUGCAACAGUGUGGUCCACCUACUUCAUUUAAUAACAUUCAGUCAGCAAUUAACAAGGACCAGCCAGCUAACUCUACAGAAGAAUAUGCUCAUCUUUUUGCUGCACUGAUUGCCCGGACAGCAAAAGAUAUUGGUGUUUUGAUAGAUUCUUUACCCAGUGAAGAAUCGACAGCCGCAUUACAGGCCGCUAGCUUGUAUAAGCUGGAGGAAGAGAACCAUGAAGCUGCUACCUGUCUGGAAGAUGCUGUUUAUCGAGUAGACUUGCUUCUGGAAAAUAUCCAGAGUGCACUGGCUAACAUUGCUCAGUCCCAGCUGAAGACAAGAAGUGGAGCCCACACCCAACCUUUUCCAACUACUAGCACUGUCACACCCUGGGCUGAAAAAAGGACUGGUCCAUGCCGUUAGCAUUCUGCAGCAGGUAUACCAAUACAGCAACAUCAAUCUCUCAGAUGUGCUGCCUUUCAGCCAGUUUUAAUUCUCUCUUCAUUGUUGAUAAAUAAGCUUAUAAAAUCUUGAUAGAAUCUGCUUUAAGCCAUCGUUGUGUCAUCAUUUUAUUUUUGUUUUUCCUCCUC